Molecule: ribosomal RNA, 923 nt
Filed under: Kingella kingae
Lineage: Bacteria; Pseudomonadati; Pseudomonadota; Betaproteobacteria; Neisseriales; Neisseriaceae
Description: partial 23S ribosomal RNA
Rfam family: Bacterial large subunit ribosomal RNA
Source: RNAcentral
AGUCAAGUGAAUAAGUGCAUCAGGUGGAUGCCUUGGCGAUGAUAGGCGAAGAAGGACGUGUAAGCCUGCGAAAAGCACGGAGAAGCUGGCAAAAAAGCAAUGAUACCGUGAUGUCCGAAUGGGGAAACCCACUGCACUCGUGCAGUAUCCUAGUCUGAAUACAUAGGGCUAGAGAAGCGAACCUGGAGAACUGAACCAUCUAAGUACCCAGAGGAAAAGAAAUCAACCGAGAUUCCGCAAGUAGUGGCGAGCGAACGCGGAAAAGCCUGUAUAUGAUAAUGGUUAAGAUAGAAGAAGGGAUUGGAAACUUCCGCCAUAGUGGGUGAUAGCCCCGUAUUUGAAAUCUUAACCAUGGUACUAAGUAUACGAGAAGUAGGGCGGGACACGUGAAAUCCUGUCUGAAUAUGGGGGGACCAUCCUCCAAGGCUAAAUACUCAUCAUCGACCGAUAGUGAACCAGUACCGUGAGGGAAAGGCGAAAAGAACCCCGGAAGGGGAGUGAAAUAGAACCUGAAACCUGGUGCAUACAUACAGUGGGAGCAUCUUUGUGGUGUGACUGCGUACCUUUUGUAUAAUGGGUCAACGACUUACAUUCAGUAGCGAGCUUAACCGAGUAGGGGAGGCGUAGGGAAACCGAGUCUUAAUAGGGCGACUAGUUGCUGGGUGUAGACCCGAAACCGAGUGAUCUAUCCAUGGCCAGGAUGAAGGUGCGGUAAAACGCAUUGGAGGUCCGAACCCACGCAUGUUGCAAAAUGCGGGGAUGAGCUGUGGAUAGGGGUGAAAGGCUAAACAAACUCGGAGAUAGCUGGUUCUCCCCGAAAACUAUUUAGGUAGUGCCUCGAGUAUGAGACUGAUGGGGGUAAAGCACUGUUAUGGCUAGGGGGUUAUUGCAACUUACCAACCCAUGGCAAACUAAGAAUACCA